Molecule: non-coding RNA, 45 nt
Filed under: Trichobilharzia regenti
Lineage: Eukaryota; Metazoa; Platyhelminthes; Trematoda; Strigeidida; Schistosomatidae
Source: RNAcentral
AUCCACGUGACGAGUCUCAAAUAGGACGAAAUGCGCAUCCUGGAU